GCACGAGGGUUCCACCUCUUCCCAUUCCGAACAGAGAAGUUAAGCCUCGUCACGCCGAUGGUACUGCGUAACAGUGGGAGAGUAGGUAGCCGCCGUUU
RNAcentral lists this ribosomal RNA (98 nucleotides) under Bacteroides ovatus. The record is from RNAcentral. Lineage: Bacteria; Pseudomonadati; Bacteroidota; Bacteroidia; Bacteroidales; Bacteroidaceae. RNAcentral also lists the same sequence under 5 other names.